Molecule: non-coding RNA, 775 nt
Organism: Vicugna pacos (alpaca)
Lineage: Eukaryota; Metazoa; Chordata; Mammalia; Artiodactyla; Camelidae
Source: RefSeq, a predicted model, not a curated record
CACACGCACUGCAUGGUACCGUGUGAUGAGGGAAAUGAGGAGCGGCUUCUGCAAGACAGAGUUCUGUGGGUGCAACAGGGACGUAUCCAGGAAAGGACUCAGGGAGGGGCGAGGAGUCCUCCCAGACAGCACCCCCCCACCCUAAAUGAGCCGGGGCGGGCCAGCCUGAGUGGACAGCUGCGCAGAAGCAAGGAGGGCACAGGGCAUGUGGCCUGAGGGUCAGCAAGUCGUCCGGGGAGGGAAGCACCCAGGAGACUCAGGAAGGGCAUGUUGGUGGCCACCAGGCUCUGCCAAAUGUUCCCCUACAUCCUGUUGCCCACAGGCCGCACAGCCUCCCCAGGGAGCUGAAAGCCUCUAAUGAGGACCACAUGGACCUUCCAGAAGACCCUGUGGAUUCCAGGAAAAAUAAGCAUUACAAAAUACGAAAUACCAGUUCUCGUUGUGGGAGCCAGCACCCUGUAUGUCUUGCAUCUUGUUUAAAAAGCCCGAGGAGAGCCCGGAGCGCCGGUGGCUAACAUCCACGGCUCAGGGUGCAGAGCGCUACUCAGCAGCCCUGACGGCUCCUUCCUGAAGCUGCGGUGGGGCCCUGCCCGCAGGGCAGGUCGGAGGCGGCCCUGGGGUCAGGACCCGCGGCCUGCACAGCCCAGGACAGGGCCGGGCUGGCGGGGCCUUUCUGCUUCAGACCCAGCGCAGCGCGGAGACGGGUCAAGGCCACCUCCAGGGCUUAGUCUUGCUGGCUCUGCACUCAUGUAAAGAUAGCAAGUUGCAGAACAGA